AAAGUCGUGAAGCGAAAAUUCGUCUCGUCUCGUUAUCCUGUUAUUGUUGGCUGGUCACAUGACUGAAAGAAUAGGGGUUCACAUCACAGACGCCACAAGCGAUUAACAAUCGAUAAUUCGAACUGAAACAAGAUGGACGUUAUAGAUGAUUAUUAAUAAAUCGAGUCGUUGAUUUCUCUUGCAGAUUUGGUAAUGAUUGAGGUUUAUCACUCCUUCCUCUUCCUCCUGCUUCCUGAAUAGGACCUAGUGGGGCUUCAAAGGCCAAGAAU
This is a long non-coding RNA of Bombus pyrosoma, 269 nucleotides long. RefSeq lists it as uncharacterized. The transcript has 3 exons. Lineage: Eukaryota; Metazoa; Arthropoda; Insecta; Hymenoptera; Apidae. The record is from RefSeq and is a predicted model, not a curated record.